AUUGAACGCUGGCGGCAGGCCUAACACAUGCAAGUCGAGCGGAUGAAGGGAGCUUGCUCCUGGAUUCAGCGGCGGACGGGUGAGUAAUGCCUAGGAAUCUGCCUGGUAGUGGGGGAUAACGUCCGGAAACGGGCGCUAAUACCGCAUACGUCCUGAGGGAGAAAGUGGGGGAUCUUCGGACCUCACGCUAUCAGAUGAGCCUAGGUCGGAUUAGCUAGUUGGUGGGGUAAAGGCCUACCAAGGCGACGAUCCGUAACUGGUCUGAGAGGAUGAUCGGUCACACUGGGACUGAGACACGGUCCAGACUCCUACGGGAGGCAGCAGUGGGGAAUAUUGGACAAUGGGCGAAAGCCUGAUCCAGCCAUGCCGCGUGUGUGAAGAAGGUCUUCGGAUUGUAAAGCACUUUAAGUUGGGAGGAAGGGCAGUAAGUUAAUACCUUGCUGUUUUGACGUUACCAACAGAAUAAGCACCGGCUAACUUCGU
Molecule: ribosomal RNA, 483 nt
Filed under: uncultured bacterium
Lineage: Bacteria
Description: partial 16S ribosomal RNA
Rfam family: Bacterial small subunit ribosomal RNA
Source: RNAcentral